RNAcentral lists this ribosomal RNA (237 nucleotides) under Glomeromycotina sp. Its description in RNAcentral is "partial small subunit ribosomal RNA". The stretch from base 40 to 237 matches the Rfam family "Eukaryotic small subunit ribosomal RNA", at positions 686 to 885 of the family's 1831-position model. Lineage: Eukaryota; Fungi; Glomeromycota. The record is from RNAcentral.
GGGUCAGUAGGUUGGUCGUGCCACCGGUACGUACUGGUCUCACUGAUUCCUCCUUCCUGAAGAACCGUAAUGCCAUUAAUUUGGUGUUGCGGGGAAACAGGACUGUUACUUUGAAAAAAUUAGAGUUUUUAAAGCAAGCUAACGCUUGAAUACAUUAGCAUGGAAUAAUGAAAUAGGACGAUCGAUCCUAUUUUGUUGGUUUCUAGGAUUGACGUAAUGAUUAAUAGGGAUAUUGGG